Molecule: ribosomal RNA, 468 nt
Filed under: uncultured bacterium
Lineage: Bacteria
Description: partial 16S ribosomal RNA
Rfam family: Bacterial small subunit ribosomal RNA
Source: RNAcentral
GACGAACGCUGGCGGCGUGCUUAACACAUGCAAGUCGAACGGAAAGGCCCUGCUUUUUUGGGGUUCUCGAGUGGCGAACGGGUGCGUAACACGUGAGUAACCUGCCCUUGACUUUGGGAUAACUUCAGGAAACUGGGGCUAAUACCGGAUAGCAGCUCCUGCUGCAUGGUGGGGGUUGGAAAGUUUCGGCGGGUGGGGAUGGACGGGCGGCUUGUGAGCUUGUUGGUGGGGUAGUGGCUGACCAAGGCUUGGACGGAUAGCCGGCAUGAGAGGGUGACCGGGGUCAAGGGGACUGAGAGAGGGCGCAGAGGCGUAUGGGAGGCAGCAGGGGGGAGUAUUGCACAAUGGGCGGAAGCCGGAGGCAGCAACGCCGGGUGCGGGAUGACGGCCUUCGGGGUGUAAACCGCUUUAGGCUGUGACGAAGCGGGAGUGACGGUAAUGGGUAAAGAAGCACCGGCUAACUACGUG